AACUUAUGGUGAGGGCAUGAAUGUAUCAUCUCCUUGAACCGCUCCCAAGCUUCCGCAAAUGUCUCAUCGUUCUCUUCUUAAAUGAGGAGAUUUUCCCCCUUAUGUU
Molecule: non-coding RNA, 106 nt
Organism: Beta vulgaris subsp. vulgaris (sugar beet)
Lineage: Eukaryota; Viridiplantae; Streptophyta; Magnoliopsida; Caryophyllales; Amaranthaceae
Source: Rfam